CCUACGGGAGGCAGCAGUGGGGAAUUUUGGACAAUGGGCGCAAGCCUGAUCCAGCAAUGCCGCGUGAGUGAAGAAGGCCUUCGGGUUGUAAAGCUCUUUUGUCAGGGAAGAAACGGUGAAGGCUAAUAUCUUUUGCUAAUGACGGUACCUGAAGAAUAAGCACCGGCUAACUACGUGCCAGCAGCCGCGGUAAUACGUAGGGUGCAAGCGUUAAUCGGAAUUACUGGGCGUAAAGCGUGCGCAGGCGGUUUUGUAAGUUUGUCGUGAAAUCCCCGGGCUCAACCUGGGAAUGGCGAUGAAGACUGCAAGGCUAGAAUCUGGCAGAGGGGGGUAGAAUUCCACGUGUAGCAGUGAAAUGCGUAGAGAUGUGGAGGAACACCGAUGGCGAAGGCAGCCCCCUGGGUCAAGAUUGACGCUCAUGCACGAAAGCGUGGGGAGCAAACAGGAUUAGAUACCCUGGUAGUCCACGCCCUAAACGAUGUCUACUAGUUGUCGGGUUUUAAUUAACUUGGUAACGCAGCUAACGCGUGAAGUAGACCGCCUGGGGAUACGGUCGCAAGAUUAAAAACUCAAAAGUAGUAAGUAGGACGCGAGAGAGACGACGACGACGACGACGGAGGAGGAGG
This 626-nucleotide ribosomal RNA is filed under the name uncultured bacterium. RNAcentral's name for it is "bacterial SSU rRNA". It matches the Rfam family "Bacterial small subunit ribosomal RNA", at positions 338 to 957 of the family's 1533-position model. The record is from RNAcentral.